ACUCAAAGGAAUUGACGGGGGCCCGCACAAGCAGUGGAGCAUGUGGUUUAAUUCGAUGCAACGCGAAGAACCUUACCUGGGCUCGAAAUGCAGAGGGAGAUGCCAGAAAUGGCUUCGUCCGCAAGGACUUCUGUAUAGGUGCUGCAUGGCUGUCGUCAGCUCGUGCCGUGAGGUGUUUGGUUAAGUCCAGCAACGAGCGCAACCCUUAUCAUUAGUUGCCAACACGUAAGGUGGGGACUCUAAUGAGACUGCCUAGGUUAACUAGGAGGAAGGCGAGGAUGACGUCAAGUCCGCAUGGCCUUUAUGUCCAGGGCUACACACGUGCUACAAUGGUCGGUACAGAGGGCUGCAAGACCGUAAGGUGGAGCAAAUCCCAGAAAGCCGAUCUCAGUUCAGAUUGUGGACUGCAACUCGUCCACAUGAAGUCGGAAUUGCUAGUAAUGGCGUGUCAGCAACAACGCCGUGAAUACGUUCCCGGGCCUUGUACACACCGCCCGU
This 498-nucleotide ribosomal RNA is filed under the name uncultured bacterium. RNAcentral's name for it is "partial 16S ribosomal RNA". It matches the Rfam family "Bacterial small subunit ribosomal RNA", at positions 899 to 1397 of the family's 1533-position model. The record is from RNAcentral.